Tympanuchus pallidicinctus (lesser prairie-chicken) is the source of this 574-nucleotide long non-coding RNA. RefSeq lists it as uncharacterized. The record is from RefSeq and is a predicted model, not a curated record. Lineage: Eukaryota; Metazoa; Chordata; Aves; Galliformes; Phasianidae. The transcript has 3 exons.
AGGACUUGACCUACAUCUGUUGAGAAUAAGGAUGGACAAAGCACACUGAGAUAAAACAGUGGAGGAUUCCAUCCCCUUUAAGGUGCAUUCAGAUCAGAAGCUGACUACUCUCAAAGCUGCUGAGCAAUGUACUGAAGGACUGAGGACAUUCAUAUCGUUUAUAAACUGGAGGGGAACAAAAGCAACAAAAAGAAGAAAUAACAACCAAAAACUGCCUUGCAAGAUGUCAUCUUUCCUCCGGACUCAGAGUUUGACACGUUGGUUCUGCUUAAGUUGAAGUUUCUGUUUUAAGCAAAUUCAAGUACACAUUCCAACUAUAUUCUCAAAUCCUUUGACAGCCAAUUGUGUGUACUAAGUAUUACUAGAAACGAUGGAUAAUUACAAACACUGGAAUGUUGCAAGAAUUUUUACUUCAAUUCCUAGGUGUCUUUCCCAGCAAGAUUCUGCUUCUCAGCAGGAAGAUUUGGGAGUACGUGGUCAGAAAUCAGGAACUGACAAUCUGUAAGAGACUUCCACUGGAUUAAUGUCAUGAAUCUGCUGCUACAGUGAAGAAUCCUGGGAGUAAUUAUAUAUA